UACCGAUACUCGUAUAAUUUCGGGGAUAUGGCCCGUAAGUCUCUACCCAAAAACCGUAAACUUUUGGACUACGAGAAUUCAUU
This 83-nucleotide non-coding RNA is filed under the name Paenibacillus senegalensis. RNAcentral describes it as "Purine riboswitch". It matches the Rfam family "Purine riboswitch aptamer", at positions 18 to 94 of the family's 102-position model. From Rfam's summary of the family: Riboswitches are metabolite binding domains within certain messenger RNAs that serve as precision sensors for their corresponding targets. Lineage: Bacteria; Bacillati; Bacillota; Bacilli; Caryophanales; Paenibacillaceae. The record is from RNAcentral.